UACCAUAUCAAUAAGCGGAGGAAAAGAAACUAACAAGGAUUCCCCUAGUAACUGCGAGUGAAGCGGGAAAAGCUCAAAUUUAAAAUCUGGCGGUCUCUGGCCGUCCGAGUUGUAGUCUAGAGAAUUGUUGCCCGCGCUGGACCGUGUACAAGUCUCCUGGAAUGGAGCGUCAUAGAGGGUGAGAAUCCCGUCUCUGACACGGACUACCAGGGCUUUGUGGUACCCUCUCAAAGAGUCGAGUUGUUUGGGAAUGCAGCUCUAAAUGGGUGGUAAAUUCCAUCUAAAGCUAAAUAUUGGCGAGAGACCGAUAGCGAACAAGUACCGUGAGGGAAAGAUGAAAAGAACUUUGGAAAGAGAGUUAAACAGUACGUGAAAUUGCUGAAAGGGAAACGCUUGAAGUCAGUCGCGUUGACUAGGACUCAGCCUCGCUCUUGCGUGGUGUACUUUCUGGUUGACGGGUCAGCAUCAAUUUUGACUGCUGGAAAAAGGCUUAGGGAAUGUGGCAGCUUCGGCUGUGUUAUAGCCCUUGGUCACAUACAGCGGUUGGGAUUGAGGAACUCAGCACGCCGCAAGGCCGGGUUUCGACCACGUUCGUGCUUAGGAUGCUGGCAUAAUGGCUUUAAGCGACCCGUCUUGAAACACGGACCAAGGAGUCUAACAUGCCUGCGAGUGUUUGGGUGGUAAACCCGAGCGCGUAAUGAAAGUGAAAGUUGAGAUCCCUGUCGUGGGGAGCAUCGACGCCCGGACCUGAACUUUUGUGACGGAUCCGCGGUAGAGCAUGUAUGUUGGGACCCGAAAGAUGGUGAACUAUGCCUGAAUAGGGUGAAGCCAGAGGAAACUCUGGUGGAGGCUCGUAGCGAUUCUGACGUGCAAAUCGAUCGUCAAAUUUGGGUAUAGGGGCGAAAGACUAAUCGAACCAUCUAGUAGCUGGUACUGCGAGUUCCUCCUC
RNAcentral lists this ribosomal RNA (949 nucleotides) under Leptocaulis ericaeus. RNAcentral describes it as "LSU rRNA". It matches the Rfam family "Eukaryotic large subunit ribosomal RNA", at positions 35 to 974 of the family's 3401-position model. The record is from RNAcentral. Lineage: Eukaryota; Fungi; Basidiomycota; Agaricomycetes; Agaricales; Lycoperdaceae.